This is a non-coding RNA of Pelobates cultripes (western spadefoot toad), 357 nucleotides long. The record is from the annotation of a GenBank genome assembly. NCBI's taxonomy places the organism in Eukaryota, Metazoa, Chordata, Amphibia, Anura, Pelobatidae.
UGGAAUUGUUCUUUGGUGCUAUAAUCACUAGCUCUUGUAAGAGCUAUCCUGCUGUACUCUCUGGAGGAGGAGAUGUCUGCCAACUAGAAGCUGGAUCCUGGUCUUGGGGUCCAGGGUGGAUGAAAGACAGUGAGACCCCAACCAAGCUGUAACGCUGGAAGUGGGGACUACGGUGCUCAUGGUGUCUGGUGGAGUGCUUGGAAGUAUUCGGUGAGCACUAGAAAGCAGCGAUUGGCAGAGGCACCCAGUUGGGGUGCCAGGCGGUCAGUCACAGUCAUCUGCUAGAAAUGGGUACUGCUGGACUGCAUACCACCUUAAGGCCCGGUAAGAAUCAUCCGGCCACAAUUCUUUCUGGAC